Molecule: transfer RNA, 73 nt
Filed under: Marmota marmota marmota (Alpine marmot)
Lineage: Eukaryota; Metazoa; Chordata; Mammalia; Rodentia; Sciuridae
Also listed under: 1 other name
Rfam family: tRNA
About the family: Transfer RNA (tRNA) molecules are approximately 80 nucleotides in length.
Source: Rfam by way of RNAcentral
GGGGAUAUAGCUCAGUCGGUAGAGUGCCUGCCUCACAUGCACGAGGCUCUGGGUUCAAUCCCCAGCACCACUA